RNAcentral lists this ribosomal RNA (1666 nucleotides) under Oxytropis lambertii. RNAcentral's name for it is "bacterial LSU rRNA". It matches the Rfam family "Bacterial large subunit ribosomal RNA", at positions 242 to 1993 of the family's 2925-position model. Lineage: Eukaryota; Viridiplantae; Streptophyta; Magnoliopsida; Fabales; Fabaceae. The record is from RNAcentral.
AGUAGUGGCGAGCGAAAGCGGAACAGCCCAAACCGUCGGGAUUUAUCCUGACGGGGUUGCAGGACCACAACGUGGACUGAAGUGAGUUAGACGAACACUCUGGAAAGUGUGACCACAGCGGGUGAUAGUCCCGUAGUUUAAAACUCAUUUCUACCUAGUGGCCUCCUAAGUAGCACGGUGCACGUGAAACUCCGUGUGAAUCCAUGCCGACCACGGCAUAAGGCUAAAUACUCGUUGACGACCGACAGUGAACUAGUACCGCGAGGGAAAGGUGAAAAGCACCCCUGUUAGGGGAGUGAAAUAGUAACUGCAACCGAUGGCUAACAAGUCAGUGGGAGCACCUUUAUGGUGUGACCGCCUGCCUUUUGUAUAAUGAGUCUGCGAGUUAUUGCCCGUAGCAAGCCUAAGCCGCUAAGCGGUGGAGGCGCAGCGAAAGCGAGUCCAAACAGGGCGCUUAAGUUGCUGGCAAUAGACCCGAAGGGGAGGUGAUCUAACCAUGGCCAGGAUGAAGCUUCGGUAAAACGAAGUGAAGGUCCGAACCGGUCAACCUUGAGAAGUUGUCGGAUGAGCUGUGGUUAGGAGCGAAAGACUAAUCAAACCCCCUGAUAGCUGGUUCUUUCCGAAAUAUAUUUGGGUAUAGCGUCGGAUGCUGAUGAGUGGAGGUAGAGCACUAAAUAAGCUAGGGCCCCUACCGGGGUACUGAACUUAAUUAAACUCCGAAUACCAUUCAAUGAAGUCCGGCAGUCAGACGGUGGGGGCUAACCUCCAUCGUCGAGAGGAGAAUAAUCCAGACCAUCAGUUAAGGUCCCAAAAUAUGGCUCAGUGUAAAAGGAUGUGAAUUUACUUAGACAAUGGGGAUGUUGGCUUAGAGGCAGCCAUCAUUUAAACAGUGCGUAACAGCUGACCCAUCGAGUGAAUUUGCGCCGAAAAUGAUCGGGACUUAAGCCGUAUACCGAAGCUAUGGGUUUACCGCAAGGUAAGCAGUAGGAAAGCGUUCCAAGUGCAGCGAAGCGGAAGGGGCAACCAACCGUGGAGCGCUUGGAAGUGAGAAUGCAGACAUAAGUAACGAUAAAGAUGGUUAAAUUCCAUCUCGCCGUAAGGAUAAGGUUUCCUGGGGAAGGUUCGUCCUCCCAGGGUUAGUCGGGAGCUAAGAUGAGGCCGUAAGGAAUAAUCGAUGCACAGCAGGUUAAUAUUCCUGCACCGAUCCAUAACUAUCCUGUAAUUGACGGAGCGACGAAUCCAACAGACCCUUUUGACAAGGCACUGCGAAGCCACGGCUUAGCGGGAGUUGGUGAAGGAGCUUCCAAGAAAAUUUUACAGGGAACUAUGUGGAGCGCCCGUACCGCAAACCGACACAGGUAUCCGUGAUGAGUAUUCUAAGGCGCGCGAGUCAAAUCUCUCUAAGGAACUCGGCAAAUUAACCCCGUAUCUUCGGUAUAAGGGGUGCCUCGAAAGAGGCCGCAGUUAAUUGCGUCAACCGACUGUUUAGCAAAAACACAGCACUCUGCUAAGUCGCAAGACGACGUAUAGGGUGUGACACGUGACCAAUGCGGAAAGGUGAAAGUCUAGGGUGCAAGCUCUGGAUCUAAGCCCCCGUGAAUGUCGGCCGUAACUAUAACGGUCCUAAGGUAGCGAAAUUCCUUCUCGGGUAAGUUCCGACCUGCAC